RNAcentral lists this ribosomal RNA (406 nucleotides) under uncultured bacterium. RNAcentral describes it as "partial 16S ribosomal RNA". It matches the Rfam family "Bacterial small subunit ribosomal RNA", at positions 30 to 526 of the family's 1533-position model. The record is from RNAcentral.
AUUGAACGCUGGCGGCAGGCUUAACACAUUCAAGUCGAGCGCGCGGCGGACGGGUGAGUAAUGUCUGGGAAACUGCCUGAUGGAGGGGGAUAACUACUGGAAACGGUAGCUAAUACCGCAUACCAUCAGAUGUGCCCAGAUGGGAUUGGCUAGUAGGUGGGGGAAUGGCUCACCUAGGCGACGAUCCCUAGCUGGUCUUAGAGGAUGACCAGCCACACUGGAACUGAGACACGGUCCAGACUCCUACGGUAGGAAGCAGUGGGGAAUAUUGCACAAUGGGCGCAAGCCUGAUGCAGCCAUGCCGGGUGUAUGAAGAAGGCCUUAGGGUUGUAAAGCACUUUCAGCGAGGAGGCGUUACUCGAAGAAGAAGCACCGGCUAACUCCGUGCCAGCAGCCGCGGUAAUAC